RNAcentral lists this long non-coding RNA (473 nucleotides) under Rattus norvegicus (Norway rat). RNAcentral describes it as "long non-coding RNA NONRATT013833". The record is from RNAcentral. Lineage: Eukaryota; Metazoa; Chordata; Mammalia; Rodentia; Muridae.
UUAAUAGUGUCCAGCAUGGCCCAUGCCAUGCACCUUCUCCCCUGUAUUCUCCACUCCUGCAGACUGUAGGCAAACUGCUAGUCUUUAAUGGAACCACCGCAUACGUGCUGUUACUCAACCAGAAAAAGUUUGGAUCCCGAGAAAGCAAAUAAACAUUUCAAGCAUUUUGGGGAUCUACCAAGUCUUUCAUCAAACCUAACUUUAUAUCCUUUAUAUAAAGUAUCAAGACAAAACAAAAACAUCGAGAAGCCUGGUAUUAGAGCUAGCAGCAAUGAUGGUGAACUAGUCCCACGUGACCACAAGGACACCUCUCAGAAGCACAGUGGUGAACAAGGCAAGCCAAACAAUUACCUGUAUGGAGACAGAACAGUGGUGGGAAGGGUUUGUGGAUGUGAAUGACUGGAAGUUCUCUAUUUCUAGACCUAGCUGACUGCUAGACAGAUGUCCACAUUAAAACAGUUCAAGUCUGUUGU